RNAcentral lists this ribosomal RNA (434 nucleotides) under Stenotrophomonas sp. R-32748. RNAcentral's name for it is "bacterial SSU rRNA". It matches the Rfam family "Bacterial small subunit ribosomal RNA", at positions 17 to 445 of the family's 1533-position model. Lineage: Bacteria; Pseudomonadati; Pseudomonadota; Gammaproteobacteria; Lysobacterales; Lysobacteraceae. The record is from RNAcentral.
AUCUGGCUCAGAGUGAACGCUGGCGGUAGGCCUAACACAUGCAAGUCGAACGGCAGCACAGUAAGAGCUUGCUCUUAUGGGUGGCGAGUGGCGGACGGGUGAGGAAUACAUCGGAAUCUACUUUUUCGUGGGGGAUAACGUAGGGAAACUUACGCUAAUACCGCAUACGACCUACGGGUGAAAGCAGGGGACCUUCGGGCCUUGCGCGAUUGAAUGAGCCGAUGUCGGAUUAGCUAGUUGGCGGGGUAAAGGCCCACCAAGGCGACGAUCCGUAGCUGGUCUGAGAGGAUGAUCAGCCACACUGGAACUGAGACACGGUCCAGACUCCUACGGGAGGCAGCAGUGGGGAAUAUUGGACAAUGGGCGCAAGCCUGAUCCAGCCAUACCGCGUGGGUGAAGAAGGCCUUCGGGUUGUAAAGCCCUUUUGUUGGGAA